UGAAUUGCGUUAAGAAUCACGAAUUACAGAUAUUAUGAGUGACAUAUUUUCGAUUGCAUAUUGCACCGUUGGGCAUUUGUUCAUCGGUAUACCCAACUCAGGGUGUGAUUAUAAAAAGAAAUUGAAAAAUUCUUUCAGUUGGCGCAAUGCAUUUGAUUGUGCCGAGAUUCAAGUAACAUAAAGUUCAUUGUUGAGCGUGUUGCUGUGUCAAAGCAUCCUUGUGAGCGAAGGAACAACGUUGGGUUUUUGUUUUCCAGGACUUUUCAAUAAUUUAUUGGCGAAGAGUUGUGGACUUUCGAAGAGUCGACGGUGUGCUUAGCAGCCUCUGACACCACCAUUUCUCUAAUGGUUGAAUCCACCUGAGUUGAGUAUGACUACCUGCUGAACUUAA
This 391-nucleotide unclassified non-coding RNA is filed under the name uncultured fungus. RNAcentral's name for it is "sequence contains ITS1". The stretch from base 1 to 106 matches the Rfam family "5.8S ribosomal RNA", at positions 49 to 154 of the family's 154-position model. Lineage: Eukaryota; Fungi. The record is from RNAcentral.